AGCGAACGCUGGCGGCAGGCUUAACACAUGCAAGUCGAGCGGGCCCUUCGGGGUCAGCGGCAGACGGGUGAGUAACACGUGGGAACGUACCCUUUGGUUCGGAAUAACGCUGGGAAACUAGCGCUAAUACCGGAUACGCCCUUUUGGGGAAAGGCUUGCUGCCGAAGGAUCGGCCCGCGUCUGAUUAGCUAGUUGGUGGGGUAAUGGCCUACCAAGGCGACGAUCAGUAGCUGGUCUGAGAGGAUGAUCAGCCACACUGGGACUGAGACACGGCCCAGACUCCUACGGGAGGCAGCAGUGGGGAAUAUUGGACAAUGGGCGCAAGCCUGAUCCAGCCAUGACGCGUGAGUGAUGAAGGCCUUAGGGUUGUAAAGCUCUUUUGUCCGGGACGAUAAUGACGGUACCGGAAGAAUAAGCCCCGGCUAACUUCGUG
RNAcentral lists this ribosomal RNA (433 nucleotides) under uncultured bacterium. Its description in RNAcentral is "partial 16S ribosomal RNA". It matches the Rfam family "Bacterial small subunit ribosomal RNA", at positions 29 to 507 of the family's 1533-position model. The record is from RNAcentral.